This 101-nucleotide ribosomal RNA is filed under the name Gnetum gnemon. Its description in RNAcentral is "partial 26S ribosomal RNA". The record is from RNAcentral. Lineage: Eukaryota; Viridiplantae; Streptophyta; Gnetopsida; Gnetales; Gnetaceae.
AAACCCCCCUUUUCGGGAGGAUACCCCCUGAGAUUUAACAUAUAAAUAAAAGGAGAAAAAGAAAAUUUUAAGGAUUCCCCCCUAAAAGGGGAGAGAAACGG